Lineus longissimus is the source of this 412-nucleotide long non-coding RNA. RefSeq lists it as uncharacterized. Lineage: Eukaryota; Metazoa; Nemertea; Pilidiophora; Heteronemertea; Lineidae. The record is from RefSeq and is a predicted model, not a curated record. The transcript is spliced from 4 exons.
CCUCGUGAUGGGAUUUUUGCCUUGGUGAGUUUUAGUACGUGUUUUACCUCUUUUAUCAUCGCUCCUCGGAAAUCAUCAGCCUUACUAGCUUCGACCCUCGAAGUCAACGGGCUUGUGAUAAUAUAAAAGAUCAAAGAAUGUUCAGUUCAUAUAUACAACACGUCCGAACAAAUCACAGAUUGCCACACUUGCUCAUUCGAGCUUGUAUACUCGCUGCUAUAGUGUGGGAUGUUAGUGCCUGCUUUAGGAGCAGUGAACAUGCCAAAACAUGCAACUGCACGGAAAUGGAAACGACGAUAACUACACUGCACGAUCAACUACAGCAGAAAAUAGAGAAGGUUCUGUUGGGUAUUGAUCAAGGAGUACUGUUCGCCAAACCAGCCUUACGCGCGUUUCUCGUUGAUGAUGGAAG